CACGCCGCGGAUUAUGGGAUUUACUAGCUGGAAGGAUGUAGUCGGCGGCCAAUGGAUUUUCACGUAGCAUGACAAGGAGUAUUUUGAGAUGCACACCACUGUCAAGUGCUCCUGACCGACAACAGGAACAAGGAACAACUGGUGGCCAAACUGGGAAGAGGCCACUUGAAGCUGUGGCUGCCGCUGAAUAGUUUAACCCUGGGAAAGGAGGACUAGAAAUCUAGUGUGCCGUUAUUGCCAGACCUGUGCUGCUGUGAAGUCUUGGGUGUGUCUUGGGAGAGCUAACAUCUCGUCACCGCAAGAACCUUAAUUGUUUGUUGCGGUGCAUCACACAUAAAGGAGCACACAAUCACCUUUAGAGCUUCACCUCUGAAACUCAUGCCAUUUCUUUGCACCUGGGGGUCAUCAACAAAUGCUUUCAGGUAGCCAUGCACAUUAGAUGGUUUUCCAGUUUCACAGAACAGACUUAACAGUUACAGCUAUACAUUUGUGUAGCUGCGAUCUAGCAUUGCAUGAAUUGGCCAGAACUUUUGAACUCUAUGUUGAACGUAAACAUGCUUUUAUUCAUAAAACUUCACUGUAAUCUCUGCAAGAAUCUGUUGUGGGACAUGCUAAAUACCCGCAUAUUGUUGCUUUGCUUGGGAUGCUGUAUUGUUUUGUAUACUAUAUUCCCUCUUCACUAGCUGUACCUGUCUAUUUUUAUUUUAAAUAAACUUAUCUUUUCUGUGA
Long non-coding RNA from Sardina pilchardus (European sardine), 729 nucleotides. RefSeq lists it as uncharacterized. The transcript is spliced from 3 exons. NCBI's taxonomy places the organism in Eukaryota, Metazoa, Chordata, Actinopteri, Clupeiformes, Clupeidae. The record is from RefSeq and is a predicted model, not a curated record.